GAACUAUAUUUUGAAACUUUGAAAGUUUCAUUGGAGAUUUUUCUCGUGGUUUU
This 53-nucleotide transfer RNA is filed under the name Heterakis beramporia. RNAcentral's name for it is "tRNA-Ser". Lineage: Eukaryota; Metazoa; Nematoda; Chromadorea; Rhabditida; Heterakidae. The record is from RNAcentral.